GCUAGAGUGUUGUCUUCAAGGCGC
Molecule: non-coding RNA, 24 nt
Filed under: Arabidopsis thaliana (thale cress)
Lineage: Eukaryota; Viridiplantae; Streptophyta; Magnoliopsida; Brassicales; Brassicaceae
Source: RNAcentral